AUUGAACGCUGGCGGCAGGCCUAACACAUGCAAGUCGAACGAGUGGCGGACGGGUGAGUAAUGUCUGGGAAACUGCCCGAUGGAGGGGGAUAACUACUGGAAACGGUAGCUAAAACCGCAUACCAUCGGAUUUGCCCAGAUGGGAUUGGCUGGUAGGUGGGGUAAUGGCUCACCUGGGCGACGAUCCCUAGCUGGUCUGAGAGGCUGACGAGCCACACUGGAACUGGGCAACGGUCCAGACUCCUACGGGAGGAAGCAGUGGGGAAUAUUGGACAAUGGGCGAAAGCCUGAUGCAGCCAUGCCGCGUGUAUGAAAAAGGCCUUCGGUUUGUAAAGUCCUUUCAGCGGGGAGGCGUUACCCGAAGAAGAAGCCCCGGCUAACUCCGUGCCAGCAGCCGCGGUAAUAC
This 406-nucleotide ribosomal RNA is filed under the name uncultured bacterium. RNAcentral describes it as "partial 16S ribosomal RNA". It matches the Rfam family "Bacterial small subunit ribosomal RNA", at positions 30 to 526 of the family's 1533-position model. The record is from RNAcentral.